This 521-nucleotide ribosomal RNA is filed under the name uncultured Pseudomonadota bacterium. Its description in RNAcentral is "bacterial SSU rRNA". It matches the Rfam family "Bacterial small subunit ribosomal RNA", at positions 355 to 866 of the family's 1533-position model. Lineage: Bacteria; Pseudomonadati; Pseudomonadota. The record is from RNAcentral.
UCGGGAAUUUUGGGCAAUGGGCGAAAGCCUGACCCAGCAACGCCGCGUGAGGGAUGAAGGCCUUCGGGUCGUAAACCUCUGUCGGGAGGGAAGAACGUUCCCGGGGUGAACAAUCCCGGGGGCUGACGGUACCUCUAGAGUAAGCGCCGGCUAACUCCGUGCCAGCAGCCGCGGUAAUACGGAGGGCGCAAGCGUUGUUCGGAAUCAUUGGGCGUAAAGCGCGUGUAGGCGGCUUGGCAAGUCGAGUGUGAAAGCCCGGGGCUCAACCCCGGAAGGUCGCUCGAAACUGCCUCGCUCGAGUCCCGGAGAGGAAGGCGGAAUUCCCGGUGUAGAGGUGAAAUUCGUAGAUAUCGGGAGGAACACCAGCGGCGAAGGCGGCCUUCUGGACGGUGACUGACGCUGAGACGCGAAAGCGUGGGGAGCAAACAGGAUUAGAUACCCUGGUAGUCCACGCCGUAAACGUUGGGUGCUAGGUGUCGCGGGUAUUGACCCCUGCGGUGCCGCCGCUAACGCAUUAAGCA